Molecule: long non-coding RNA, 279 nt
Filed under: Cucumis sativus (cucumber)
Lineage: Eukaryota; Viridiplantae; Streptophyta; Magnoliopsida; Cucurbitales; Cucurbitaceae
Description: long non-coding RNA (CSAT_LNC001857)
Source: RNAcentral
UCUUAUUGGUUGAGUUUGAUUGCAUACUUCCAUUCAUAUAUUUUUUAUCAAUAUUGUUAUUUAACUGUUUACAAAGUUCUUUAUUUAAAUUUUAAAAAUAUAUAAUUAGUUGAUUUUACUUUUUAUUUGUCAAAAAAGUUUAUUUAAACCCUAUUCACCCCCCUCUAGGGUUGUCAUACCGAUCCAACACUUUCUCUUUGCGUGAAUUGUGUUUCCGUUGUGGGUUUUUGCCGUAUAUGUGGGGUUUUGUCAAAUCUGUGUUUUAGCCGUGAGUUUUUG